AGUACUUGUAUGUGUCUUUGUUUAAUUUGUUGUAACAAAGUCUUACAGACAGGUGCAAACACCAAGUCCUCUUUUGCAACUCAGAACUCAUUAUUGGUAUGAGUUUGGGUACAUGUAAGAAGGAAUGUG
Molecule: small nucleolar RNA, 129 nt
Organism: Perognathus longimembris pacificus (Pacific pocket mouse)
Lineage: Eukaryota; Metazoa; Chordata; Mammalia; Rodentia; Heteromyidae
Product: small nucleolar RNA SNORA40
Exons: 1
Source: RefSeq, a predicted model, not a curated record